Molecule: ribosomal RNA, 2921 nt
Filed under: Staphylococcus aureus VET0352R
Lineage: Bacteria; Bacillati; Bacillota; Bacilli; Caryophanales; Staphylococcaceae
Description: bacterial LSU rRNA
Rfam family: Bacterial large subunit ribosomal RNA
Source: RNAcentral
UUAAGUUAUUAAGGGCGCACGGUGGAUGCCUUGGCACUAGAAGCCGAUGAAGGACGUUACUAACGACGAUAUGCUUUGGGGAGCUGUAAGUAAGCUUUGAUCCAGAGAUUUCUGAAUGGGGAAACCCAGCAUGAGUUAUGUCAUGUUAUCGAUAUGUGAAUACAUAGCAUAUCAGAAGGCACACCCGGAGAACUGAAACAUCUUAGUACCCGGAGGAAGAGAAAGAAAAUUCGAUUCCCUUAGUAGCGGCGAGCGAAACGGGAAGAGCCCAAACCAACAAGCUUGCUUGUUGGGGUUGUAGGACACUCUAUACGGAGUUACAAAGGACGACAUUAGACGAAUCAUCUGGAAAGAUGAAUCAAAGAAGGUAAUAAUCCUGUAGUCGAAAAUGUUGUCUCUCUUGAGUGGAUCCUGAGUACGACGGAGCACGUGAAAUUCCGUUGGAAUCUGGGAGGACCAUCUCCUAAGGCUAAAUACUCUCUAGUGACCGAUAGUGAACCAGUACCGUGAGGGAAAGGUGAAAAGCACCCCGGAAGGGGAGUGAAAUAGAACCUGAAACCGUGUGCUUACAAGUAGUCAGAGCCCGUUAAUGGGUGAUGGCGUGCCUUUUGUAGAAUGAACCGGCGAGUUACGAUUUGAUGCAAGGUUAAGCAGUAAAUGUGGAGCCGUAGCGAAAGCGAGUCUGAAUAGGGCGUUUAGUAUUUGGUCGUAGACCCGAAACCAGGUGAUCUACCCUUGGUCAGGUUGAAGUUCAGGUAACACUGAAUGGAGGACCGAACCGACUUACGUUGAAAAGUGAGCGGAUGAACUGAGGGUAGCGGAGAAAUUCCAAUCGAACCUGGAGAUAGCUGGUUCUCUCCGAAAUAGCUUUAGGGCUAGCCUCAAGUGAUGAUUAUUGGAGGUAGAGCACUGUUUGGACGAGGGGCCCCUCUCGGGUUACCGAAUUCAGACAAACUCCGAAUGCCAAUUAAUUUAACUUGGGAGUCAGAACAUGGGUGAUAAGGUCCGUGUUCGAAAGGGAAACAGCCCAGACCACCAGCUAAGGUCCCAAAAUAUAUGUUAAGUGGAAAAGGAUGUGGCGUUGCCCAGACAACUAGGAUGUUGGCUUAGAAGCAGCCAUCAUUUAAAGAGUGCGUAAUAGCUCACUAGUCGAGUGACACUGCGCCGAAAAUGUACCGGGGCUAAACAUAUUACCGAAGCUGUGGAUUGUCCUUUGGACAAUGGUAGGAGAGCGUUCUAAGGGCGUUGAAGCAUGAUCGUAAGGACAUGUGGAGCGCUUAGAAGUGAGAAUGCCGGUGUGAGUAGCGAAAGACGGGUGAGAAUCCCGUCCACCGAUUGACUAAGGUUUCCAGAGGAAGGCUCGUCCGCUCUGGGUUAGUCGGGUCCUAAGCUGAGGCCGACAGGCGUAGGCGAUGGAUAACAGGUUGAUAUUCCUGUACCACCUAUAAUCGUUUUAAUCGAUGGGGGGACGCAGUAGGAUAGGCGAAGCGUGCGAUUGGAUUGCACGUCUAAGCAGUAAGGCUGAGUAUUAGGCAAAUCCGGUACUCAUUAAGGCUGAGCUGUGAUGGGGAGAAGACAUUGUGUCUUCGAGUCGUUGAUUUCACACUGCCGAGAAAAGCCUCUAGAUAGAAAAUAGGUGCCCGUACCGCAAACCGACACAGGUAGUCAAGAUGAGAAUUCUAAGGUGAGCGAGCGAACUCUCGUUAAGGAACUCGGCAAAAUGACCCCGUAACUUCGGGAGAAGGGGUGCUCUUUAGGGUUAACGCCCAGAAGAGCCGCAGUGAAUAGGCCCAAGCGACUGUUUAUCAAAAACACAGGUCUCUGCUAAACCGUAAGGUGAUGUAUAGGGGCUGACGCCUGCCCGGUGCUGGAAGGUUAAGAGGAGUGGUUAGCUUCUGCGAAGCUACGAAUCGAAGCCCCAGUAAACGGCGGCCGUAACUAUAACGGUCCUAAGGUAGCGAAAUUCCUUGUCGGGUAAGUUCCGACCCGCACGAAAGGCGUAACGAUUUGGGCACUGUCUCAACGAGAGACUCGGUGAAAUCAUAGUACCUGUGAAGAUGCAGGUUACCCGCGACAGGACGGAAAGACCCCGUGGAGCUUUACUGUAGCCUGAUAUUGAAAUUCGGCACAGCUUGUACAGGAUAGGUAGGAGCCUUUGAAACGUGAGCGCUAGCUUACGUGGAGGCGCUGGUGGGAUACUACCCUAGCUGUGUUGGCUUUCUAACCCGCACCACUUAUCGUGGUGGGAGACAGUGUCAGGCGGGCAGUUUGACUGGGGCGGUCGCCUCCUAAAAGGUAACGGAGGCGCUCAAAGGUUCCCUCAGAAUGGUUGGAAAUCAUUCAUAGAGUGUAAAGGCAUAAGGGAGCUUGACUGCGAGACCUACAAGUCGAGCAGGGUCGAAAGACGGACUUAGUGAUCCGGUGGUUCCGUAUGGAAGGGCCAUCGCUCAACGGAUAAAAGCUACCCCGGGGAUAACAGGCUUAUCUCCCCCAAGAGUUCACAUCGACGGGGAGGUUUGGCACCUCGAUGUCGGCUCAUCGCAUCCUGGGGCUGUAGUCGGUCCCAAGGGUUGGGCUGUUCGCCCAUUAAAGCGGUACGCGAGCUGGGUUCAGAACGUCGUGAGACAGUUCGGUCCCUAUCCGUCGUGGGCGUAGGAAAUUUGAGAGGAGCUGUCCUUAGUACGAGAGGACCGGGAUGGACAUACCUCUGGUGUACCAGUUGUCGUGCCAACGGCAUAGCUGGGUAGCUAUGUGUGGACGGGAUAAGUGCUGAAAGCAUCUAAGCAUGAAGCCCCCCUCAAGAUGAGAUUUCCCAACUUCGGUUAUAAGAUCCCUCAAAGAUGAUGAGGUUAAUAGGUUCGAGGUGGAAGCAUGGUGACAUGUGGAGCUGACGAAUACUAAUCGAUCGAAGACUUAAUCAA